GGCUCCGGGUCUGGCUCCGGUUCCCCAUCCUCCGUCGCGGCUACCGUGGCAGCCUCUUCUCCUUGUUCCUCGACCGAAGCUUCGGCCGCCUCGGCAGCGACCAGUUCAGGCUCGGGCUCCGACUCGGGUUCGGGUUCCGGCUCCGGCUCGCCACCGCCGCACGGUCCGCGAAACUCGCCCAGGAAUAGCUCCAGGAAGCGCCGGUUUCCUGGAUGGAUACUUGGGCCUCACGUGGUUAAGAAUGGACUGAGGCAUCUCCAACUCCAGCUGCUGGUUCCCACUCGGACUGCAUUCACCUCAGUUUCCGUAUGUCCUCUCUUCUGUUGGUGAGACUCAUUGAAGGAGUCGUUCCAGGGAGGAAGCCUCAGACGCCCUGCACCUGUAGGUUCCUUUGGGUACGUUCUCAAUAGAAUUUGUAAAGAAAUGUUAUCCUCCUUUCUCAAAUAAACAAAAUUAAGGUAAU
Long non-coding RNA from Ochotona princeps (American pika), 463 nucleotides. RefSeq lists it as uncharacterized. The record is from RefSeq and is a predicted model, not a curated record. The transcript is spliced from 2 exons. NCBI's taxonomy places the organism in Eukaryota, Metazoa, Chordata, Mammalia, Lagomorpha, Ochotonidae.